Molecule: transfer RNA, 63 nt
Filed under: Explanatum explanatum
Lineage: Eukaryota; Metazoa; Platyhelminthes; Trematoda; Plagiorchiida; Paramphistomidae
Description: tRNA-Asp
Source: RNAcentral
UCAUUUCUAGUUUAUAUAGAAUGUUAGUUUGUCGUGCUGAAGGAGGCUUUGAGCCGAAAUGGG